CCUACGGGAGGCAGCAGUGAGGAAUAUUGGUCAAUGGGCUUACGCCUGAACCAGCCAAGUCGCGUGAGGGAAGACUGCCCUAUGGGUUGUAAACCUCUUUUGUCAGGGAGCAAUUGGCGCUACGUGUAGCGUUAUCGAGAGUACCUGAAGAAAAAGCAUCGGCUAACUCCGUGGCAGCAGCCGCGGUAAUACGGAGGAUGCGAGCGUUAUCCGGAAUUAUUGGGUUUAAAGGGUGCGUAGGCGGAAUGCCAAGUCAGCGGUAAAAUCGCGGGGCUCAACCUCGCUCCGCCGUUGAAACUGGCGUUCUUGAGUGGGCGAGAAGUAUGCGGAAUGCGUGGUGUAGCGGUGAAAUGCAUAGAUAUCACGCAGAACUCCGAUUGCGAAGGCAGCAUACCGGCGCCCAACUGACGCUGAAGCACGAAAGCGUGGGUAACGAACAGGAUUAGAUACCCCAGUAGUC
Molecule: ribosomal RNA, 460 nt
Filed under: uncultured bacterium
Lineage: Bacteria
Description: partial 16S ribosomal RNA
Rfam family: Bacterial small subunit ribosomal RNA
Source: RNAcentral